Molecule: transfer RNA, 58 nt
Filed under: Silvanus unidentatus
Lineage: Eukaryota; Metazoa; Arthropoda; Insecta; Coleoptera; Silvanidae
Description: tRNA-Ser
Source: RNAcentral
ACUUGUUAAGUAUAUAUUUUGAAAAUAUAAAAAAGAAACUUUAAUUUUCUAUUAACUU